This 382-nucleotide ribosomal RNA is filed under the name uncultured bacterium. Its description in RNAcentral is "bacterial SSU rRNA". It matches the Rfam family "Bacterial small subunit ribosomal RNA", at positions 29 to 416 of the family's 1533-position model. The record is from RNAcentral.
AUUGAACGCUUGCGGCAUGCCUUACACAUGCAAGUCGAGCGCGAAAGGGGGCAACCCCGAGUAGAGCGGCGGACGGGUGAGUAACGCAUCGGAACGUGCCCAGUAGUGGGGGACAACCUCGAGAAAUCGAGGCUAAUACCGCAUACGACCCACGGGUGAAAGCGGGGGACCGCAAGGCCUCGCGCUAUUGGAGCGGCCGAUGUCCGAUUAGCUAGUUGGCGGGGUAANAGCCCACCAAGGCGACGAUCCGUAGCUGGUCUGAGAGGAUGAUCAGCCACACUGGAACUGAGACACGGUCCAGACUCCACGGGAGGCAGCAGUGGGGAAUUUUGGACAAUGGGGGCAACCCUGAUCCAGCCAUUCCGCGUGAGUGAAGAAGGCC